UAAUUGGAGCAGGUGCAAAAUUAUGUGGCCAAAAUUAAAUAAAAUAAAAGGCUGCAUUGAAUAUGCCGCAGAAUCGGAGGGACCAAAGGCGCAAAUUACCCAUUAGGGCAAGAGUGCGCAGGUCUCCCCCUUAAACGGCGCCGUUUUAAUCACUAUAAAAGCCUAAAAAAUCUACCUUCUGCAGUUUCAUUUUUUUUUUAAGAAUCCCAAAAAAUAAAAGGGGGUUCCCUUUUCUGUUCCAGGGUUCCAAGGCUAGGAACUCCGUCGCCAACUGAUGAAUCACCUCGGUGGUUUGCCACACCACCACUAUCACCGGUGGCCGACGACAAGCGACCACGGGAAGGUACGGCGUACGGAGGGUGGACGUGGCGAGUGAAGGCAUUGCACGCGUGCGAGGGAAAGCAGAAAGGUGUCACUACUGCGGCGCUGCGAGCCAUUGCUGCUAGGGCUUUUCGGUUUCUUUUCUGUUUUGGGUUGUAUGAUAGCUGGGUUUAGGUUUGAGCUGGGUUAAUUUGGGUUAAAACGGGUUGGGCCAGGUUGGGCCUGUGUAUUUAGACAUUAAACUGGACACUUUAUUUGAUUUUUAUUUUAAUUUAGUUUUAAAAUGCCAGGCCAAAUUUGGGUUGGUACAAAGCAGAUUUCCAUCA
This is a long non-coding RNA of Gossypium raimondii (Peruvian cotton), 647 nucleotides long. RefSeq lists it as uncharacterized. The transcript has 2 exons. The record is from RefSeq and is a predicted model, not a curated record. Lineage: Eukaryota; Viridiplantae; Streptophyta; Magnoliopsida; Malvales; Malvaceae.